Molecule: long non-coding RNA, 1745 nt
Organism: Mytilus californianus (California mussel)
Lineage: Eukaryota; Metazoa; Mollusca; Bivalvia; Mytilida; Mytilidae
Exons: 4
Source: RefSeq, a predicted model, not a curated record
GUGUUACUACAAUGGUUGUUUAUUGGAUAAGCUAUUUGCUUAUUGAAUAUUUCUGUCAUAGAUGGUCAUAAUGACCACAUGUGGGUGAAGUAUCGAAAUAAAGAGUUUAUGCUAGUCCAUCAAAAAAUGACAUGGAUGGAAGCUCAGAGUGUAUGUUAUUCACUUGGCGGCUUUCUUGCAACUGUAUCUAAUUCUGAUGAAAUGGAAUUUAUCAAGUCAAUGACAAACGUAUACCCUAACAGCAUUUGGUUGGGCGGUACAGACAUGUUUGCUGAUCAAAGAUGGAUCUGGAUAGAGAAUUUAGAGCCAAUAUCAUAUAACUACUAGUAUAUUGGUACUCAUGAACCAUCUGGAGGAUCGGGGGAGAAUUGUUUAGUUUGGCUUAACCAUAAAGGAUUCUUUUGGCAUGAUACUUCCUGCAAAAAUAACUUCAAAUUUGUUUGUGAGCGGUAGUUACUUAUUCAUCGUGUACAAUGCAUUUUUCCGUUGUCUUUAUGAAAGUACAGGCUCUCACUUUGUUAACCAAAGAUUAUUUGGUUUGACAUUAUUCAAUAAUUUUAAAACAGCAUUAACCAUAUCUGUUUAAAAAGGUCAAUUGAUAAAUUUUAAAAUAAGCCUUUCUCAGACCGACCUUUCAGAUUAAAUACAAAAGGACAAUAAUCGAGAACAUUACUUAUUUUAACAUAGAUAUAAGAAGAUGUGGUAUGAGUGCCAAUGAGACAACUCUCCAUUCAAGUUACAAUUUGUAAAAGUAAACCAUUAUAGGUCAAAGUACGGCCUUCAACACGGAGCCUUGGCUCACACAGAACAGCAAGCUAUAAAGGGCCCCAAAAAUGACUAGAGUAAAACCAUUCAAACAGGAAAACAAACGGUCUAAGCUAUAUAAAAAACGAGAAACACUUAUGAACCACAUCAGCAAACGACAACCACUGACCAUCAGGUUCCUGACUUAGGACAAGUGCAAAAAAAUGCAGCGGGUUUAAAAGUUUUAAGAGGCGCCAUCAUUCACCCUAAGUACAUCUGUUUGGUUUUUUUUCAGUAAUGGAAGGAAAAAAGAGCCUUGAACAGUGACGAAAUAUUCUAUUACAUGGUUCAAAUAAAAUACAAGAAUAACGUUAUUGUGAUUAAUUUUAUGGUUUGAACUGUUCUUGUCGAACGAUACGAAAACGUUUGGGGAGCAGGUCAAUUUGUUACGGGUAAUAUGUCAGAAACAAUAAUGCAGUCAGCUGACUACAAAACUCCGUAAUUCCAGGGUUACGACAAAUUUAGGCUUUUAUCAUAAAGGUUCUAUCGUCUUAACAAAAACUUUAAACAUUUAUUUUGUUAACCUCUCAACAGAGUCUGCGGUAGUGUCAAUUCCUUCAUACUUAUUCUUGCUUGCAUUAAACUAUCAGAUCUGAUUAUUGAAUAUUCAAAACAAUUUCGUAGAACCUGUGAAAUUGGCUGAAGUUAAUUUCAGUGAAGCUUUUCAUUAAGUUAAAAAUGGGAAGAUUAAGACAAUAAAGCUUUGCAGAUACAAACGCCAAGUUGUUUUCAACACGAAACGAUUGUUUUCUUGGUAAUAUGUUCAACGUUCAACCUCUCCAUCAAAUGUCCCAGUCAAUUAUUCAAAUCAGAGCUACAAAAGGAGCUGGAACUUUAUACGGACUCUAAGUUAGUCACUGUAAAUUACAAUUCUGUCCAAAAUAGUGAUAAUAUUCUACUAGAAAAAAUAUUUUGUCAUAUAUAAAGACUAUUUGUUGUUA